Molecule: ribosomal RNA, 253 nt
Filed under: uncultured bacterium
Lineage: Bacteria
Description: partial 16S ribosomal RNA
Rfam family: Bacterial small subunit ribosomal RNA
Source: RNAcentral
UCCGUAGGGUGCAAGCGUUAAUCGGAAUUACUGGGCGUAAAGCGUGCGCAGGCGGCUUUGCAAGACAGAUGUGAAAUCCCCGGGCUCAACCUGGGAACUGCAUUUGUGACUGCAAGGCUAGAGUACGGUAGAGGGGGAUGGAAUUCCGCGUGUAGCAGUGAAAUGCGUAGAUAUGCGGAGGAACACCGAUGGCGAAGGCAAUCCCCUGGACCUGUACUGACGCUCAUGCACGAAAGCGUGGGGAGCAAACAGG